Molecule: long non-coding RNA, 333 nt
Filed under: Bos taurus (domestic cattle)
Lineage: Eukaryota; Metazoa; Chordata; Mammalia; Artiodactyla; Bovidae
Description: long non-coding RNA NONBTAT022230
Source: RNAcentral
GAGGAUACAUGACCUCCCUGCCACAUACACACAGACAGGCACACCCAUUUACUUCUUCCAUCCUGUCUCUUGCUAACAUCGGGUAGCCUAAAACGAGAGAUUCAUUCAUUAGCAUGCAGAUGGCAUAAGGGAAGGCAUGGUGCUAACACUUUGUUAUGAAUUAACUAGAUAUAUUUCCCACCCUGUGGAACUAACUGUAGGCUAUGGAAGUGGAUAGUGGGGAAGGCGAGAAACUGGAAAGGCAAGGGAAUGGGUGGGCAUCAAUGUGGAAAGAAGGUCCUGACUUACAGUGUCGAGAUUGCUUUAUCUGUUUAAAACACUUUACAAACAUGU